RNAcentral lists this ribosomal RNA (909 nucleotides) under uncultured bacterium. RNAcentral's name for it is "bacterial SSU rRNA". It matches the Rfam family "Bacterial small subunit ribosomal RNA", at positions 66 to 1013 of the family's 1533-position model. The record is from RNAcentral.
ACGAAGCCUUUCGGGGCUUAGUGGCAGAACGGGUGAGUAACGCGUGAGGAUCUACCCUUAGGAGCGGGACAACAGCUGGAAACGGUUGCUAAUACCGCAUAUGGCGGAAGCUGAAAGAUUUAUCGCCUGAGGAAGAACUCGCGUCUGAUUAGCUAGUUGGUGAGGUAAGAGCUUACCAAGGCGACGAUCAGUAGCUGGUCUGAGAGGAUGAUCAGCCACACUGGGACUGAGACACGGCCCAGACUCCUACGGGAGGCAGCAGUGGGGAAUUUUCCGCAAUGGGGGCAACCCUGACGGAGCAACGCCGCGUGGGGGAGGAAUGUCUGUGGAUUGUAAACCCCUUUUCUCAGGGAAGAAGUUCUGACGGUACCUGAGGAAUCAGCAUCGGCUAACUCCGUGCCAGCAGCCGCGGUAAGACGGAGGAUGCAAGCGUUAUCCGGAAUUAUUGGGCGUAAAGCGUCCGUAGGCGGUUAGACAAGUCUGCUGUCAAAGACUGCAGCUCAACUGUGGGCCGGCAGUGGAAACUGUUUAACUUGAGUAUGGUAGGGGUAGAGGGAAUUCCCAGUGUAGCGGUGAAAUGCGUAGAUAUUGGGAAGAACACCAGUGGCGAAGGCGCUCUACUGGGCCAUAACUGACGCUGAGGGACGAAAGCUAGGGGAGCGAAAGGGAUUAGAUACCCCUGCAGUCCUAGCUGUAAACGAUGGAUACUAGGUGUUGGACGUAUCGACCCGUUCAGUACCGCAGUUGACGCGAUAAGUAUCCCGCCUGGGGAGUACGCACGCAAGUGUGAAACUCAAAGGAAUUGACGGGGGCCCGCACAAGCGGUGGAGUAUGUGGUUUAAUUCGAUGCAAUGCGAAGAACCUUUACCAGGGUCUUGACAUCCCCCGGAAUCCUCGUGAAAGGGAGGA